ACCAAUUAUAUAUUAUUUUUAAUAUAAUUGGUGGUGGUGUGCUCAUUUAUAUUAAGUAUAAUAUAUAAUUGGUGGCGGUGUCCUCAUUUAUAUUAUUUUAAAUAUGAAUGAGGACACCAUCACCAAUUGUGAAGUUUGCCUAUCGGGCCUACAUUUAUGUAUAUUACUAUAUUUGGUUUUAUUUUCUAAUGAAAGAAUUUUAUUUUAAUAGUACCAUCAGCAACAUCCAUAGCAAGUAUUUCAGCCACCGUACCACAGAAAUGUUCAGGUUCAAAUACUAGUCUUCUUGUUGGAUUGACGUUUCUAAGUUUCUUUUUGGGAGUCCUUUUAUCUUCAUCUAUAUCUGUCGUCCUCGGAAAGAUCAGAAAUCCAAAGGCACAGGUAACCAAAGGAACAUCCAGACAUUACGAAGAACCGGUGGAUCUCCAAGCAACGCCCAGAGAUAAACAAGCAUUGGCUUACAUGUCAUAUAAACGUGAUUCGAGUGCAGAGGAAAAGACAUAUGAAGAUCUAGAGUGGAAUGAUGACAACCCAGUUGCUUAUAUAAACGUCAAAGCAAACAAAGAGAAUACUUAAAAUUACUAAUUUGAAUGUAGCACCAAAUUCAGUAGACUAGACUGGUUAGUAAACGUAAAAUUACAAAGAUUAUGAUGGUCGUCGAUAAACUCUUGGACUCUAUGACGGAAAUGUAUUUUACAGAAGGAAACGAUACACAUAAUACCGUAGUUAUGUAGACCUAGAUUUUAGCUCAGGUAGAUGGCGACCGAAACCAUUAUUUAUGCUUGCCUAAGAAACAUUUUUUUACUCAUAUGAACUUGACCGAGUAGUGCUUGUAGCACAGAUAAUUGUCAAUACUUAAAGACAGAAAUAUGAUGUAUAAAAAAAACGAUGUUUAAACCGAA
This is a long non-coding RNA of Anneissia japonica, 902 nucleotides long. RefSeq lists it as uncharacterized. The record is from RefSeq and is a predicted model, not a curated record. The transcript has 5 exons. Lineage: Eukaryota; Metazoa; Echinodermata; Crinoidea; Comatulida; Comatulidae.